RNAcentral lists this ribosomal RNA (740 nucleotides) under uncultured archaeon. Its description in RNAcentral is "bacterial SSU rRNA". It matches the Rfam family "Archaeal small subunit ribosomal RNA", at positions 1 to 750 of the family's 1478-position model. The record is from RNAcentral.
UUCCGGUUGAUCCUGCCGGACCCGACUGCUAUCAGAGUGAGAUUAAGCCAUGCGAGUUAACGUAGCAAUACGUGGCGCACGGCUCAGUAACACGUAGUCAACAUGCCCAGAGGACGUGGAUAACCUCGGGAAACUGAGUCUAAACCGCGAUAAGUGAGGAUUUCUGGAAUGGUUCCUGACUAAAAUCUAUAUGGCCUCUGGAUUGGACUGCGGCCGAUCAGGCAGUUGGUGAGGUAAUGGCCCACCAAACCUAUAACCGGUACGGGCUCUGAGAGGAGAAGCCCAGAGAUGGGCACUGAGACAAGGGCCCAGGCCCUAUGGGGCGCAGCAGGCGCGAAACCUCUGCAAUAGGCGAAAGCCUGACAGGGUUACUCUGAGUGAUUUCCGCUAAGGGGAUCUUUUGGCACCUCUAAAAAUGGUGCAGAAUAAGGGGUGGGCAAGUCUGGUGUCAGCCGCCGCGGUAAUACCAGCACCCCGAGUGGUCGGGACGAUUAUUGGGCCUAAAGCAUCCGUAGCCGGUUCUGCAAGUCUUCCGUUAAAUCCAGCCGCUCAACGGAUGGGCCGCGGAGGAUACUAUAGGACUAGGAGGCGGGAGAGGCAAGCGGUACUCAGUGGGUAGGGGUAAAAUCCUUUGAUCCAUUGAAGACCACCAGUGGCGAAGGCGGCUUGCCAGAACGCGCUCGACGGUGAGGGAUGAAAGCUGGGGGAGCAAACCGGAUUAGAUACCCGGGUAGUCCCAG